GCAGCGGUAGUUCAGUUGGUUAGAAUACCGGCCUGUCACGCCGGGGGUCGCGGGUUCGAGUCCCGUCCGCUGCGCCA
Molecule: transfer RNA, 77 nt
Filed under: Pseudomonas aeruginosa
Lineage: Bacteria; Pseudomonadati; Pseudomonadota; Gammaproteobacteria; Pseudomonadales; Pseudomonadaceae
Also listed under: 404 other names
Description: tRNA-Asp
Rfam family: tRNA
About the family: Transfer RNA (tRNA) molecules are approximately 80 nucleotides in length. Their secondary structure includes four short double-helical elements and three loops (D, anti-codon, and T loops).
Source: RNAcentral